This 253-nucleotide long non-coding RNA is filed under the name Ictidomys tridecemlineatus (thirteen-lined ground squirrel). RNAcentral's name for it is "lncRNA (ENSSTOG00000030645.1)". The record is from RNAcentral. Lineage: Eukaryota; Metazoa; Chordata; Mammalia; Rodentia; Sciuridae.
AAUUUUGUCUGCUUUGUUUUACAGUGCUGCUGGAGUUCCUGCGUAAUGCCAACUGGUUCCAACUAAGGGACCUCAGGGCAUUCUUUUAGGAUACCCAGAAACUUCAUGUUCCCUUUCACAGCAUGCAAGUGUAAAAGACAGAAGUUGGUUUUUUUUCUCAAGGUUAGUAUACAUCUCUGAGAUUUUUUUUUUCUUUUUUACCACUUGUAAAGUGGAUAAAAGUUUGUGUUUUCUUCUUCUCCUUCUCCUUCUU